UACGGGGGGGAGCAAGCGUUGUUCGGAUUUACUGGGCGUAAAGGGCGCGUAGGCGGCCUGUUAAGUCGAACGUGAAAUCCCCGGGCUCAACCCGGGAACUGCGUCCGAUACUGGCAGGCUUGAAUCCGGGAGAGGGAUGCGGAAUUCCAGGUGUAGCGGUGAAAUGCGUAGAUAUCAGGAGGAACACCGGUGGCGAAGGCGGGUCUCUGGGCAGUAACUGACGCUGAGGAGCGAAAGCGUGGGGGAGCGAACAGG
This 255-nucleotide ribosomal RNA is filed under the name uncultured bacterium. RNAcentral describes it as "partial 16S ribosomal RNA". It matches the Rfam family "Bacterial small subunit ribosomal RNA", at positions 524 to 776 of the family's 1533-position model. The record is from RNAcentral.